This 1351-nucleotide ribosomal RNA is filed under the name metagenome. RNAcentral describes it as "bacterial SSU rRNA". It matches the Rfam family "Bacterial small subunit ribosomal RNA". The record is from RNAcentral.
AGAGUUUGAUCCUGGCUCAGGAUGAACGCUGGCGGCGUGUCUAAGGCAUGCAAGUCGAAUGCAUUUAGGUGCAUGGCAAACGGGAGAGUAACGCAUUGGUAACCUACCUCUAACUCAGGAAUAACCCACCGAAAGGUGGAAUAAUACCUGAUAGUCUCAACAGUCAUAUGGUUGUUGAGUAAGGAUUUAUCGGUUAGAGAGGGGCCUAUGGCCUAUCAGCUUGUUGGUGAGAUAACAGCUCACCAAGGCUACGACGGGUAGCGGGUGUGAGAGCAUGACCCGCCUCAAAGGAACUGAGACACUGUCCUUACUCCUACGGGAGGCUGCAGUCAAGAAUCUUCCCCAAUGGACGAAAGUCUGAGGGAGCGACGCCGCGUGAAUGAAGAAGCCCUUCGGGGUGUAAAAUUCUUUUAUUAGGGACGAACAAAUGACGGUACCUAAUGAAUAAGGGGCUGCCAACCUCGUGCCAGCAGCAGCGGUAAUACGAGGGCCCCGAGCGUUAUCCGGAAUUAUUGGGCGUAAAGCGUCCGCAGGCGGUCUAUUAAGUUAAUCGUUAAAUUUCAGAGCUCAACUCUGAAACCGCGAUUAAUACUGAUAGACUAGAGGCUGGGAGAGGCAUGUGGAAUUGCCGGUGUAGUAGUAAAAUGCGUUAAUAUCGGCAAGAACACCAAAUGCGAAGGCAUCAUGCUGGAACAGUCCUGACGCUCAGGGACGAAAGCGUGGGUAGCGAAUGGGAUUAGAUACCCCAGUAGUCCACGCCGUAAACGAUGGAUACUAGGCAUUGGAAGUGUCGACCCUUUCAGUGUCGUUUAUAUAAGCUAACGCGUUAAGUAUCCCGCCUGGGGAGUACGGCCGCAAGGCUAAAACUCAAAGGAAUUGACGGGAACCCGCACAAGCGGUGGAGCACGCGGUUUAAUUCGAUGAUAAGCGAGGAACCUUACCAAGACUUGACAUCUAGCUGCAAAGCCUAGGAGACUAGGCCGCCUACGAGGGUGCUAGACAGGUGCUGCAUGGUUGUCGUCAGCUCGUGACGUGAGUUGUACGGUUAAGUCCGGUAACGAGCGCAACCCUUAUCCUGUGUUAAAUUUCUCACAGGAAACUGCCACGUACAACGUGGAGGAAGGUGAGGAUGACGUCAAAUCAGCAUGGCUCUUACGUCUUGGGCCACACGCAUGCUACAAUGGUCAGUACAAUGAGUUGCUAAGCCGUAAGGUGGAGCUAAUCUCAUCAAAACUGGUCUCAGUUCGGAUUGAGGUCUGCAACCCGACCUCAUGAAGCUGGAAUCGCUAGUAAACGCGAAUCAGCCAUGUCGCGUUGAAUACGUUCUCGGGUUUUGUACACACCGCCCGUC